AGUUGAUGAAUAAAGAAAUCUCAAGCUCUUCUACAAAUGACGCUGUGGGAGAACUGGAGCAGCAGCUUAAAAGAGCCUUGGAAGAACUUCAAGAAGCAUUAGCAGAAAAAGAAGAGCUGAGGCAGAGAUGCCAAGAACUUGAUAUGCAGGUAGUUUCUGUGUGAGCAUUUGAAGACCCCUCAAAAUAAAGCACUCAGAUCAGGGCCUGGCACAUAACGCCAUGGGUA
Molecule: long non-coding RNA, 227 nt
Organism: Tupaia belangeri chinensis (Chinese tree shrew)
Lineage: Eukaryota; Metazoa; Chordata; Mammalia; Scandentia; Tupaiidae
Exons: 3
Source: RefSeq, a predicted model, not a curated record